Molecule: long non-coding RNA, 1082 nt
Filed under: Manacus vitellinus (golden-collared manakin)
Lineage: Eukaryota; Metazoa; Chordata; Aves; Passeriformes; Pipridae
Description: lncRNA (ENSMVIG00005016693.1)
Source: RNAcentral
GACUCCUCGGGGGCACGGAACCGCCGGUCCACGAUGUAGAUCCCUGGAUUGGGGACAGGGAAAGAGGGGAUUGAGGGGCACAGGGAAUGAGGGACACAGGGAAAGAGGGGAUUGAGGGGCACAGGACUCCUCUGGAGCACAGAAAUGAUGGUCUAUGAUGUAAAUCCCUGGAUUUGGGACAGGGAAUGAGGGAAUUGAGACACAGGGAGACAGGGAAUGAGGGGAUUGAGGGGCACAGGACUCCUCGGGGGCACGGAACCGCCGGUCCACGAUGUAGAUCCCUGGAUUUGGGACACAGGGACACAGGGAAUGAGGGGAUUGAGGGGCACAGGAUUCCUCGGGGGCACGGAACCGCCGGUCCACGAUGUAGAUCCCUGGAUUUGGGACAGGGAAAGAGGGGAUUGAGGGGCACAGGACUCCUCGGGGGCACGGAACCGCCGGUCCACGAUGUAAAUCCCUGGAAUUGGGGACACAGGGACACAGGGAAUGAGGGGCACAGGACUCCUCGGGGGCACGGAACCGCCGGUCCACGAUGUAGAUCCCUGGAUUUGGGGACACAGGGAGACAGGGAAUGAGGGGAUUGAGGGGCACAGGGAAUGAGGGACACAGGGAAAGAGGGGAUUGAGGGGCACAGGACUCCUCUGGAGCAUGGGAAUGAUGGUCCAUGAUGUAAAUCCCUGGAUUUGGGACACAGGGAGACAGGGAAUGAGGGAUGGAGGGAUAGAGAGACACAGGGAAUGAAGGAAUGAGGGAUGGAGGGAUAGAGGGACACAGGGAAUGAGGGACUCGGGACUCAGGGAUAUGGGGUCAGGGACACAGGGAAUCAGAAUAAGGCCCAGGAACUCAGGGACCCCCUCCCCAAUUCCCAGGAAUUCAGAGACCCCCUCCCAAGGACCCCAGGAAUUCUGGGACCCCCCACCCAAAUCAUCCUGGUGCUGGAGAACCGAGACAGGCGGAAAACCAGGAAUUCUGGGACCCCUUCCCCAAUUCCCAGGGGUUCAGAGACCCCCUCCCAAGGACCCCAGGGAUUCAAAGACCCCCCUCCCCAAUUCCCAGGGGUUCAGGGUCCCAAAUCCCUCUCC